CGAGGAAUCUCUGGUGGAGGUAUAUGUCAGCAGUGGCCCUGCAGGGUUGGGGCCACUGAGUGCAGCAGUGCCUGCAUGGGACCUUUUG
Molecule: microRNA precursor, 88 nt
Filed under: Bos taurus (domestic cattle)
Lineage: Eukaryota; Metazoa; Chordata; Mammalia; Artiodactyla; Bovidae
Description: microRNA bta-mir-11987 precursor
Source: miRBase by way of RNAcentral